UUAGAAGAGGAUUUCCAUAUCCAUCUUUCGUGCGGAGGACGCCUUGUCUUCAUUCAAACAAAAGCCGCUGGAGUUCCUCUUACAGCAUUCAUUUACACUGCCAGGAAUUUGCGAUCGAGAGAUUUUUCAGUCUACUGGAUUUUUUUAUUUUCAUUUUCUGACACCGAGCGAGCGUUUGGGCAGCCUCUCUUUCAAGGUAUGACUUCUAAAAUUGAAUUCCUCGUUGCUCCAAUUGUAUUUUUUUUUCUUUGAAUGAAUUGGUGUUUGAAUUCUGUUAUCUUCAUUCUUGGGUGGUGUUUGGUUUUGUUCUUGUUUGUGAUUGGGUAUUGUAUUGAAGGAUGUUUGUUAUGAAUUUUGGUUUUGGCAAUUCUUGCUGAUCAUAACUUGAUGACGAUGACGAUGACGAUGAUGGAUCCUACAGUGAAUUGAUUUUCCUAUGGGAAACUGAGUUUUCUCUGCUGCAUGAUAAGGUGGUACAUACUGCAAGCGGAACCCUUGUGCCUUGUAGAAUCCUUUUCACAUAAAGGUAGUUAUUACAAAUGGACGUCCCCCUCAUGGGUGAGGAUACUAGUACCUAUCUGUCCAGAAAUGGAAGGAAGACGCCUUUUCAUAUUUUUCUCAACGAUGCAAGGUACCUUUUUGUUAUGUUGCUUAUAGAGGAAAUUUCUCAUCCAAGAAAUGCAUUGCGGUGAUUUCAUCGCUGGUGGGGAUUUGAGGAAUCACAAUAUGUAGAGACUUCAAAGAAAUGACAGUAAUUCGUUCCAA
This is a long non-coding RNA of Magnolia sinica, 765 nucleotides long. RefSeq lists it as uncharacterized. NCBI's taxonomy places the organism in Eukaryota, Viridiplantae, Streptophyta, Magnoliopsida, Magnoliales, Magnoliaceae. The transcript is spliced from 2 exons. The record is from RefSeq and is a predicted model, not a curated record.